GGGCCCAUAGCUCAGCGGUAGAGCGGUCGGCUCAUAACCGAUUGGUCCCUGGUUCGAAUCCGGGUGGGCCCA
This 72-nucleotide transfer RNA is filed under the name Bacillota bacterium. RNAcentral's name for it is "tRNA-Ile". It matches the Rfam family "tRNA". From Rfam's summary of the family: Transfer RNA (tRNA) molecules are approximately 80 nucleotides in length. Their secondary structure includes four short double-helical elements and three loops (D, anti-codon, and T loops). Lineage: Bacteria; Bacillati; Bacillota. RNAcentral also lists the same sequence under 2 other names. The record is from RNAcentral.